AUGGAAGGUAACAAUUUAAAGCAUAACUCGUUUGAUGCCUUGUAUGAUCCUGUUCUUAUUCUAAGAGCUAUUAAGAUGGGCGUUGAUAUACCAGACUCUGAUUUUGCUAAUAUAGAUAUUUUAAGAGAACUGGAAAGAUCCAGAAAUAGUGAUUUCUGGGAAGGUAAAGAUGUUAGUAAUAAUGAUAGUAAUAACAUCCUGAUGCUGACAAAUGGAAAAGGGGACCAAACUCCUCUGGACAUGAAAUGGAGUGAGGAAAAUGAGCUGGAUGAGGAACCUUUUACUUUAGUGCGGUCUAGGAAAAAAAGGAGAGAAAAGUGA
Molecule: ribosomal RNA, 321 nt
Filed under: Triticum aestivum (bread wheat)
Lineage: Eukaryota; Viridiplantae; Streptophyta; Magnoliopsida; Poales; Poaceae
Description: partial small subunit ribosomal RNA
Source: RNAcentral